This 322-nucleotide long non-coding RNA is filed under the name Brachypodium distachyon (stiff brome). Its description in RNAcentral is "long non-coding RNA (BDIS_LNC001368)". Lineage: Eukaryota; Viridiplantae; Streptophyta; Magnoliopsida; Poales; Poaceae. The record is from RNAcentral.
ACGCCCCACCGUUGCGGCCGCGCGCUGCUCCGCCGUCCUCCGCCACCGAUGCAGCCGCGCCCUAUUCUGCCUCCAUGGUGGCAUCUGCUUCAAUUGAGAGAGUCAGUAGACCAGAGAGAGAGAGAGAGCGCUAAACUGAGAGAAGGCAGAGGAAAAGAGGGGAUCGGGAGGGAGUUAGAUCGGACAGUUCACGGCGCGCCGCACGGUAAGACGAAGUGGGGCACGUGCCCCACUUAGAAUCUCCGUUUUUUUAUUGAGGGAAAACACAGAUGUCAGUUGAGUUUACAAGUUUGAUGUAUUAUCAGAAACGGAAAUACACCAA